CCCAUAUGGUCGACCUGCAGGCGGCCGCACUAGUGAUUCCGGUGAAUUAUUCGGACUGACGCAGUGCUCAGCUUCUGGACGUUGCGUCGGAAAGUUUCAUGACCCUUAUCACUUAGAGGAAGGAGAAGUCGUAACAAGGUUUCCGUAGGUGAACCUGCGGAAGGAUCAUUCG
RNAcentral lists this ribosomal RNA (172 nucleotides) under Symbiodinium sp. Amami3d. Its description in RNAcentral is "partial 18S ribosomal RNA". It matches the Rfam family "Eukaryotic small subunit ribosomal RNA", at positions 1655 to 1831 of the family's 1831-position model. The record is from RNAcentral. Lineage: Eukaryota; Dinophyceae; Suessiales; Symbiodiniaceae.